Long non-coding RNA from Manihot esculenta (cassava), 797 nucleotides. RefSeq lists it as uncharacterized. The transcript is spliced from 2 exons. NCBI's taxonomy places the organism in Eukaryota, Viridiplantae, Streptophyta, Magnoliopsida, Malpighiales, Euphorbiaceae. The record is from RefSeq and is a predicted model, not a curated record.
UAUACCACCGUGGUAUUACCACGCAUCCUUCCACAAAUCAGUGCUCAGUUGCGCCACUCCAUCAACCAUUCUGUGACCAGUAAUUAAAACUAACGUUGAUCUAUUGGGUCCUUUAAAGUAACCCAUGCUUGUGCGAUUCACGUUCCUGGCGCUUAUAAAGAGCCCUCACCCAAUUAUGCAACGUUGCCAGGUUUUCUACUAAGCUGUGUUCAAGGAAAUGGCAGAGCAGGAAGCGAAGAAGCUAGAAGCUGAAUCAUCGGUGAUAAAUACUCCGGCAACGGCGGAAGUUAAAGACGCCACGGCACAGCAGAAAUUAUUGUUCCACCGCCUGAAGAGAAGCCUGAUGAAUCCAAAGCUCUUGCCGUAGUCGAAAGAAGAUCAAGCUAUGGUGGUAAUAAUCUGUUGGGCUCUUUGGCAAGCAUGAUGUGGUCUAGUCUUCGAAGUGGUCGAGCCCUAUUGUUGUGGUGUAUCGGGCCAGGACAAUCCUCUAGGAUUGGUGUAAUGUGCGGCACGUUAAUGACAGUUCUUCUAAUGCUGUGCCAACUCCAUUCUUGAAAGCUAAUGUAGAUGCAACAAUCUUCCCCGAUGGCUUCAUUGGAAUUGGUGGAGUGCUUCGCUCAUAUGAUGGUUCUUUUGUUGGUGCUUGUCAACUUCAACUCCUUAGUUACUUCUCUCAUAAAAUAGCUGAGCUAAUUGCUAUUAGAGAAGUUUUGAGUUGGAUUAAGAGGGUGGGUUAUGAUCAAUUAGUGUUAGAAUAAGAUGCUCUUAUGGCAGUGAAACUUUGCUUUUUUCUUCGA